CACGUAGGGGGCGAGCGUUGUCCGGAUUUAUUGGGCGUAAAGAGCUCGUAGGCGGUCUGUCGCGUCGGAUGUGAAAACCCAGGGCUCAACCCUGGGCCUGCAUUCGAUACGGGCAGACUAGAGUUCGGUAGGGGAGACUGGAAUUCCUGGUGUAGCGGUGAAAUGCGCAGAUAUCAGGAGGAACACCGGUGGCGAAGGCGGGUCUCUGGGCCGAAACUGACGCUGAGGAGCGAAAGCGUGGGGAGCAAACAGG
RNAcentral lists this ribosomal RNA (253 nucleotides) under uncultured bacterium. RNAcentral's name for it is "partial 16S ribosomal RNA". It matches the Rfam family "Bacterial small subunit ribosomal RNA", at positions 524 to 776 of the family's 1533-position model. The record is from RNAcentral.